UACAGAGGGGGCAAGCGUUGUUCGGAAUUACUGGGCGUAAAGGGCGCGUAGGCGGCCUGCUAAGUCGAACGUGAAAUCCCUGGGCUCAACCCAGGAACUGCGUCCGAUACUGGUUGGCUUGAAUCCGGGAGAGGGAUGUGGAAUUCCAGGUGUAGCGGUGAAAUGCGUAGAUAUCUGGAGGAACACCGGUGGCGAAGGCGACAUCCUGGACCGGUAUUGACGCUGAGGAGCGAAAGCGUGGGGAGCGAACAGG
RNAcentral lists this ribosomal RNA (253 nucleotides) under uncultured bacterium. RNAcentral describes it as "partial 16S ribosomal RNA". It matches the Rfam family "Bacterial small subunit ribosomal RNA", at positions 524 to 776 of the family's 1533-position model. The record is from RNAcentral.